This is a non-coding RNA of Cricetulus griseus (Chinese hamster), 1351 nucleotides long. Lineage: Eukaryota; Metazoa; Chordata; Mammalia; Rodentia; Cricetidae. The record is from RefSeq and is a predicted model, not a curated record.
CCCGCCGCGUGCGCAUGCCCGGCCAUAUACCCCGCGCGUCACGGCAGGACCCGCCCCUGCCUGCCGCCCCGCCCCGUUCCCCCGCGGCCUGCCACGUGGGGCGGUCAGGGAGCAGCGUCCAGUUACUCCAGCCAACCUGGUCCUUUAUCGCUGUGCAUCCCGGACUCGCAUCCUACUCUCACGGCCUCAUCCACCCUUCCUCUCAAAUUACAUGCUUGACUCAUAGAGGCCCUGCAGGCUCCUUUAUUCUCUGGAAACCUCCCAUCUGUCCUUCUGUGCCCUUUGUGGGAAACUCUCAUAGCCUGACCUCCAUCCUGAAGUAGAGAGCACCUCUCUUGUGUUUUUCAGACGUUAUGUCAUCCACUUGGGCUCCAAAGUGCAAUGGGCUGUCAGGAAAGGUCAGUCCCCCAUCAGGCCUUUCCUCAAAGGCAUAUAUAAGAAGAACAAGAAGCCCACCUAGAGAUAAGGCAUCAGAUACUUCAAGUACACAGAGCUGAAUAGGAGAAGCCUGACCUGGCACGUGCUUGGAGAGCAUUCUAACACUGACUACGGGAAGGCCCAGUUUCUCUUCAUUGUUUCAUGAUGAAGCUCUUCUUUUCACACACUGGCAUUUAAAAUAAGUAUUUCUGCUCAGUCCCUUACCAUCCAUCCAUCACCCCAAAACAUACAUAGAUACAUGCGAAUUUGAAAAGGUUAAGUAAAAUUAGCUUUUAAACCCCAGUAAAGGGAUGAUCCACUUAAGCCUGAAGAGAUUUGAAGAUUCUGAAACAGAAGGGGAAAAAAAAAAAAAGAAGAAAACCACACAGAAAACCAAAGCUUCCCCAAACCGCUGAAGCCCACAGGCCUGGGGAUAACUUCCUACAUGUCUCACUCAAGUGAGAGUAUCACAUUUGCCCAAGCCAACUUUGAGAAGACUGAACCUGGAUUUUGAAAAAUUCCAAGCAGCAUCAGCCCACAGCUGGAAGAGAUUCUUGCAAAAUCUCAUUUAUAGAUAUUUGCAGAAAUAUCUACACUCCAUCCAGAAUGUUCCUAGCUCUGCUGAAUCCUUCCCAUGUAUUCUGAUCAAAUUUACUGAUGAUCAGUCACAAAGAGCAAAGGUGUAUGUGUGUGCAUGCAUGCAUCUGUCAAGGGCUGAAAGGUCCAGAAAAGCAGCCUCAGCUGGAAUCGAAGGAAGCCAGGAUAGCCGCACUCACUUCCCUGGACAAGUGGGUUCAAGGGCUUGACUAUGCCUUAAGCUGGUUUAACUACAUGUCUUUCACACAUGCACACAGCUGUGCGCUCUAAAACAUUAUGCUGCACAGGCCUUUCUAUAGCCCUCCCAGAUGUACAAAUAAAGUAGCUCUCUUAUUUA